RNAcentral lists this ribosomal RNA (181 nucleotides) under uncultured bacterium. RNAcentral describes it as "partial 16S ribosomal RNA". It matches the Rfam family "Bacterial small subunit ribosomal RNA", at positions 1320 to 1500 of the family's 1533-position model. The record is from RNAcentral.
AUGAAGUUGGAAUUGCUAGUAAUCGCGGAUCAGCAUGCCGCGGUGAAUACGUUCCCGGGCCUUGUACACACCGCCCGUCACACCAGGGGAGUUUGUAACACCCGAAGUCAGUGUCCCAACCGCAAGGAGGGAGCUGCCGAAGGUGGGAUAAGCGACUGGGGUGAAGUCGUAACAAGGUAUC